RNAcentral lists this ribosomal RNA (64 nucleotides) under Vibrio alginolyticus. RNAcentral's name for it is "partial 16S ribosomal RNA". It matches the Rfam family "Bacterial small subunit ribosomal RNA", at positions 1470 to 1533 of the family's 1533-position model. RNAcentral also lists the same sequence under 14 other names. Lineage: Bacteria; Pseudomonadati; Pseudomonadota; Gammaproteobacteria; Vibrionales; Vibrionaceae. The record is from RNAcentral.
CAUGACUGGGGUGAAGUCGUAACAAGGUAGCGCUAGGGGAACCUGGCGCUGGAUCACCUCCUUA